GUGGGGAAUAUUGGACAAUGGGCGCAAGCCUGAUCCAGCCAUGCCGCGUGUGUGAAGAAGGCCUUCGGGUUGUAAAGCACUUUCAGCGGGGAGGAAGGCNUUCCGGUUAAUACCNUGCUGGAUUGACGUUACCCACAGAAUAAGCACCGGCUAACUCCGUGCCAGCAGCCGCGGUAAUACGGAGGGUGCAAGCGUUAAUCGGAAUUACUGGGCGUAAAGCGCGCGNAGGNGGUUNGUUAAGUCNGAUGUGAAAUCCCCGGGCUCAACCUGGGAACUGCAUUCGAAACUGGCNNGCUAGAGUCUGGUAGAGGGGGGUGGAAUUCCCGGUGUAGCGGUGAAAUGCGUAGANAUCGGGAGGAACACCGGUGGCGAAGGCGGCCCCCUGGAC
RNAcentral lists this ribosomal RNA (388 nucleotides) under gamma proteobacterium SCGC AAA032-C11. RNAcentral describes it as "partial 16S small subunit ribosomal RNA". It matches the Rfam family "Bacterial small subunit ribosomal RNA", at positions 354 to 734 of the family's 1533-position model. The record is from RNAcentral. Lineage: Bacteria; Pseudomonadati; Pseudomonadota; Gammaproteobacteria.